Molecule: long non-coding RNA, 735 nt
Filed under: Homo sapiens (human)
Lineage: Eukaryota; Metazoa; Chordata; Mammalia; Primates; Hominidae
Description: HSALNT0295218
Source: RNAcentral
CUCAAAAAUCAUUGUUUAUUUAAAAUCUACAACUGCUGACGUUUUGUAACGUUCGCAUUCCAGAUACAACAGAGAAAUGCAUAAUGUCCAGUCAAUUUAUUAAAGUUCCAAAGUCGGUCGCGCGCAGUGGCUCACGCCUGUAAUCUCAACACUUCGGGAGGCCGAGGCGUGUGGAUCACGAGUAUGUUUCCAGUCUCAAUAGAAAUCGAUGCCAAUCCAGAAAUACAAGCAUUAUUCUAAUACUUCUCACACAUUACUGGAGUGAGGACACAGCGAAAGUGAGACAAGGAAAAGAGAACAAAAUAAAACAGGAAAGACAGAAAAGCCAAUACCACACGUGUUAAGAGGUAAGUUCCUGUGUUAGAUAUCUGGGCUUAAUUUUAUGGGAAGCUAUGUGGAGCAUGCCUCAGAAUUACAUCACUGAAUCCAGGGAGAUUCUUCUUAGUUACCCUCACCUUUUCUUCCCACUUCAUGCCCAGUAACAAGCUCCCGUGCUGCUAGAGAAAGUCCUCAGCUAGAAACUGGUGCAAAUUCUGGAGAUGAGACCUUGUAGAGUGUUAAGAAUGGUUUUCUUCCCAGCAGCUACAGCUAAGGAAUAGGGGCUGGGCUAUGAAUACAUCUGCUACAAACCAAUAAAGCCCUUAUGCUCCUUUUGGUGAUCGACAAUGUAUUUAAAAAUAUUAGAUGAUCAAGAAGGGCUGCAGAAAGGAGGAAACAGAAACAAACAGCACACCU